AUUCGACAUUCGUCUCACAUUCGGAAGAUGCUACUUUGCAGCAUCGCGUUAGGGACCGGGUGAAAACAACCCAUACCAUUUUGAAAAAUGUAGACUUUUAUAAUAUUUUUUUGAAUAUAAAACCGCAAUUUUCAAUUUUCAUAAAAGUUUUAAACAAAACUCAAAUAAAUUGCUCAUCUUGGAAAAUAGAAUUAAAUCCACACAAAUAUUAAUAACUUUUUCAAAAUGUUGUGCCUGUUUGUGCACAUUCUGAAGAUUUUUUGCACUGUGAAUUUGCACUGUCAGUUCUGUUUUUGAAUAAAGGGUUGGAAAUUAGUGCUUUUUUGUUUAUCCGAUUCAUCGAUUAAUCAAAAAAAGAAUCAACAGAUUAAUCGAUUAUUAAAAUAAUUGUUAGUUGCAGCCCUAAUUCACACACAUACUUGAUGCUAUCUACCUUUCCAUUAGCGACAGUAACUCAGCUGUUAGCUGCAGAGCUAAUGUUACAGCCAUAUUCUAAGGGUAGCAAGCUAGGUAACCAUAUAUAGUAAAGCUACAAAAUGAUAUAGCGUUAGUUAACUUACUUGUCCGAGGUUAGUAGCUGGACGAAGGAGAGUUAGUACUGAUCCAGAAUUUAAUUUCAGCAAGGCCAGUUUUGUAUUAGCUCAAAUUGAAGAAACAGUCGUGGCUGAAGUGUUUGGCGCAGACAUACAAAACAAAUGCGCCUACAACAGAAAUUGUGUAAGUGCAUUUCCAGAGAAAAUAAAAUUAAGACACUGGGUCUUCAGAGGCUCGGAUGAAGGAACUGUAAAAAGAAUCACCUGAAGAAUCGUGGGCAAAUCAUAACAUCAGGAUCCGGGCAACUAAAAAUACAUUUAGUGAGGCACGGCUGCUGCUACCAAGGGCACUGCUGACAUCAGAUCUUCAAACUGAAGAUGAGGAGGACCAACGUCCAGCUUAUAGGAGAAGGAAGAGAAGCAAUUCUCCGUGACAUUUUGACAACAAUGGAGACUAUCAAGCAUCAACAGCAAAUGAUUUUGCUACAGUUGCAAACAACUCGUCAACCAAUGGAGGUGCCAGAUGUUUCUGGCAUUCCAUUAACAUCGCUGGAUGAACUGAUCAAGCUUGAGGAGAGCAUUGCUUCACAGGUGGAAUACAAACGAAAAUUGGUCACCUAUUUUGGGCUGGCGUGGGGGUUGACAAUAAAGGAGACAGUGUGGAGAAUAAUGGCCAAACUAAUGACAAAUGAACUGGCAAAGCAAAUCAACUGGCAAGGGGUAAAUGGCAAGUAUGGCUUUGAGCCACUUGCCAUUAAAGAUGUUGUCCUAAGUAAGUUUUAUUUUAGUAUUAUAAGGUAGAAAUAAGAAACACUAUAAAGUAACAAACAUGUUGCCUAGUAUGCUUAUUCACUUUCCUGUCUUGUGAAUGGCCUUAACCUGCCUGUUCCAUUACGUUUUUUUUGUUUGUUUCUUAAGAAUCUGUGCGAUGCAAUGCAAGUACUGCAUCCGAUGGAAAUGUAGAAAAGUUUAUUAAAAGGUGGCUGCAGCUUGCAUCGGACCGAGAUGGAGGUGUUAUGUUCUGUCUUGUCCAGUCCUGGUUUUGUGUGUGUCUGUCCAGUCUAUGUUCCAGGUCACAUACCCCAACACUCCGGUUCACAUCUUCCAGUU
Molecule: long non-coding RNA, 1643 nt
Organism: Osmerus eperlanus (European smelt)
Lineage: Eukaryota; Metazoa; Chordata; Actinopteri; Osmeriformes; Osmeridae
Exons: 4
Source: RefSeq, a predicted model, not a curated record